GACGAACGCUGGCGGCGUGCCUAAUACAUGCAAGUUGAGCGCUGAAGGUUGGUCCUUGUACCAACUGGAUGAGCAGCGAACGGGUGAGUAACGCGUGGGGAAUCUGCCUUUGAGCGGGGGACAACAUUUGGAAACGAAUGCUAAUACCGCAUAAAAACUUUAAACACAAGUUUUAAGUUUGAAAGAUGCAAUUGCAUCACUCAAAGAUGAUCCCGCGUUGUAUUAGCUAGUUGGUGAGGUAAAGGCUCACCAAGGCGAUGAUACAUAGCCGACCUGAGAGGGUGAUCGGCCACAUUGGGACUGAGACACGGCCCAAACUCCUACGGGAGGCAGCAGUAGGGAAUCUUCGGCAAUGGACGAAAGUCUGACCGAGCAACGCCGCGUGAGUGAAGAAGGGUUUCGGAUCGUAAAACUCUGUUGGUAGAGAAGAACGUUGGUGAGAGUGGAAAGCUCAUCAAGUGACGGUAACUACCCAGAAAGGGACGGCUAACUACGUG
This 497-nucleotide ribosomal RNA is filed under the name uncultured bacterium. RNAcentral's name for it is "partial 16S ribosomal RNA". It matches the Rfam family "Bacterial small subunit ribosomal RNA", at positions 28 to 507 of the family's 1533-position model. The record is from RNAcentral.